Molecule: ribosomal RNA, 328 nt
Filed under: uncultured bacterium
Lineage: Bacteria
Description: bacterial SSU rRNA
Rfam family: Bacterial small subunit ribosomal RNA
Source: RNAcentral
GACGAACGCUGGCGGCGUGCCUAACACAUGCAAGUCGAGCGAAUGAAGUUCCUUCGGGAACGGAUUUAGCGGCGGACGGGUGAGUAACACGUGGGCAACCUGCCUCAUAGAGGGGAAUAGCCUUCCGAAAGGGAGAUUAAUACCGCAUAAGAUUGUAGUACCGCAUGGUACAGCAAUUAAAGGAGCAAUCCGCUAUGAGAUGGGCCCGCGGCGCAUUAGCUAGUUGGUGAGGUAACGGCUCGACCAAGGCGACGAUGCGUAGCCGACCUGAGAGGGUNAUCGGCCACAUUGGGACUGAGACACGGCCCAGACUCCUACGGAGGCAGCA